Molecule: transfer-messenger RNA, 358 nt
Filed under: Thermomicrobiales
Lineage: Bacteria; Pseudomonadati; Thermomicrobiota; Thermomicrobia
Also listed under: 1 other name
Description: CFX8 sp003577355 Standard tmRNA
Rfam family: transfer-messenger RNA
About the family: Bacterial tmRNA, also known as 10Sa RNA or SsrA, is named for its dual tRNA and mRNA-like properties. Its role is to liberate the mRNA from a stalled ribosome.
Source: RNAcentral
GGGGAUGCCUGGUUUCGACAGGGCCGUAAGUGCGAGGAUUGCGGGCCGAGGGUGCCCCGGACUCUCGUUAAAACGGGGCGAAAAGAUAAACGGCAGGCCACAGCUUGCCCUCGCUGCCUAGUCUAACUAGCUAGCGACGUUCGACCGGCCCACUGACCGGCUGGGCCGGAACCGAGCGCCACAAUGCCGGGAUGCCGCGGUACUGAGUGCUGGAUACGUCCGCGAAAGAUCAUCUAGCAUGUCACGGGAAACGCGGUCGACAGCGGUUCCUGCUGGCGAGAUAAAGAGUCGACUAUGCCUGUAGGAGAUCUUCGGCUGAAAGUUCUGGACGGGGGUUCGAUUCCCCCCAUCUCCACAA